ACAAACGCUGGGGCGUGCUUAUACAUGCAAGUCGAACGAGGUAGCAAUACCUAGUGGCGCACGGGUGAGUAACGCGGGGAUAAUCUGCCUUAGAGUGGGGGAUAACCAGUCGAAAGACUGGCUAAUACCGCAUAAGACCACAAGAUCUGCGGAUCAAGGGGUCAAAGGUUUUUCGCUCUAAGAUGAGUCCGCGUAAGAUUAGCUAGUUGGUGAGGUAAUGGCUCACCAAGGCGACGAUCUUUAACUGGUCUGAGAGGAUGAUCAGUCACACUGGAACUGAGACACGGUCCAGACUCCUACGGGAGGCAGCAGUAGGGAAUAUUGCACAAUGGAGGAAACUCUGAUGCAGCGACGCCGCGUGAGUGAUGAAGGCCUUCGGGUCGUAAAGCUCUGUCGCAGGGGAAUAACACAAUGAAUGUACCCUGUAAGAAAGGAUCGGCUAACUUCGUGCCAGCAGCCGCGGUAAGACGAGGGAUCCUAGCGUUGUUCGGAAUUAUUGGGCGUAAAGCGGGUGCAGGUGGCUAUGUAAGUCAGGUGUGAAAGCCUGGGGCUCAACCCCAGAAGUGCAUUUGAUACUGCGUAGCUUGAGUGGUAGAGAGGAUAGUAGAAUUCUUGGUGUAGUGGUGAAAUACGUAGAUAUCAAGAGGAAUACCGGUGGCGAAGGCGGCUAUCUGGCUACGCACUGACACUCAGACCCGAAAGCGUGGGGAUCAAACAGGAUUAGAUACCCUGGUAGUCCACGCCAUAAACGAUGGAUACUUGUUGUUGGAGGGAUUGACCCCUUCAGUGACGAAGCUAACGCGUUAAGUAUCCCGCCUGGGGAGUACGGCGCAAGAUUA
This 839-nucleotide ribosomal RNA is filed under the name uncultured bacterium. RNAcentral's name for it is "bacterial SSU rRNA". It matches the Rfam family "Bacterial small subunit ribosomal RNA", at positions 29 to 896 of the family's 1533-position model. The record is from RNAcentral.